Molecule: ribosomal RNA, 255 nt
Filed under: uncultured prokaryote
Description: partial 16S ribosomal RNA
Rfam family: Bacterial small subunit ribosomal RNA
Source: RNAcentral
AGACGAACCGUCCAAACGUUAUUCGGAAUCACUGGGCUUAAAGGGUGCGUAGGCGGCGCGGAAAGUUGGGUGUGAAAUCCCUCGGCUCAACCGAGGAAUUGCGCCCAAAACUUCCGUGCUCGAGGAAGAUAGAGGUGAGCGGAACUUAGGGUGGAGCGGUGAAAUGCGUUGAUAUCCUAAGGAACACCGGUGGCGAAAGCGGCUCACUGGAUCUUUUCUGACGCUGAGGCACGAAAGCUAGGGUAGCGAACGGGA